UACAGAGGUCCCAAGCGUUGUUCGGAUUCACUGGGCGUAAAGGGUGCGUAGGUGGUGAGGUAAGUCGGAUGUGAAAGCUCGGAGCUUAACUCCGAAAUGGCAUUGGAAACUACCUUGCUAGAGGGUUGGAGGGGGGACUGGAAUACUUGGUGUAGCAGUGAAAUGCGUAGAUAUCAAGUGGAACACCAGUGGCGAAGGCGAGUCCCUGGACAACUCCUGACACUGAGGCACGAAAGCUAGGGGAGCAAACAGG
This 253-nucleotide ribosomal RNA is filed under the name uncultured bacterium. RNAcentral's name for it is "partial 16S ribosomal RNA". It matches the Rfam family "Bacterial small subunit ribosomal RNA", at positions 524 to 776 of the family's 1533-position model. The record is from RNAcentral.